RNAcentral lists this ribosomal RNA (387 nucleotides) under Triticum aestivum (bread wheat). Its description in RNAcentral is "partial small subunit ribosomal RNA". The record is from RNAcentral. Lineage: Eukaryota; Viridiplantae; Streptophyta; Magnoliopsida; Poales; Poaceae.
AUGUUGGGUAGGGGGAUUAAUUUGAACAGGGGAGAUGUGGCUAGACUCUGGCAUGAUAGCCUGGAGGGUAGAAUUCCUUUUAGAGACAGAUUCCCACUAUUAUUUGAGAUUUGUAUUGAACAAAACUGCACUGUUGAAAAAAUUGAAUGCCUUGAUUAGAUCUCCUCUUUUAGGAGGAGGAUGUCUCCUGAGAUGAUGAAACAAUGGGAGUAAAUGAAAAAAGAGGUGGUAACUCUGAAGCAAAGCGAUUUGCCGGAUGAGGUUUAUUGGAAACUGGACAGUUCGAGCAAAUUUACUACAAAAUCCAUGUACAAAUGGCUAGAAAGGGAGAUAGUUGGCUCUAACUUUAAAUGGAUUUGGGAUGCCAAACUGCCUCUUAAAAUAUAG